This 254-nucleotide ribosomal RNA is filed under the name uncultured bacterium. RNAcentral describes it as "partial 16S ribosomal RNA". It matches the Rfam family "Bacterial small subunit ribosomal RNA", at positions 524 to 776 of the family's 1533-position model. The record is from RNAcentral.
CACGUAGGGGGCAAGCGUUGUCCGGAUUUAUUGGGCGUAAAGAGCUCGUAGGCGGCUUAGUAAGUCGGGUGUGAAACCUCCAGGCUCAACCUGGAGACGCCACCCGAUACUGCUGUGGCUAGAGUCCGGUAGGGGAGCGUGGAAUUCCUGGUGUAGCGGUGAAAUGCGCAGAUAUCAGGAGGAACACCGGUGGCGAAGGCGCCACUCUGGGCCGAAACUGACGCUGAGGUGCGAAAGCUAGGGGAGCAAACGGG